ACAGCUCUGUCAAUAUGUUUAUAACCGGACUUUACAUUUUGGAGAAGACAGAAUGAUUUAGUUAAACUGCACAUAUUUGCUACUUUUUUUUUUUUCGAUGAAACAUAUUUGCUACUUUGCUAGCGGUCAACUAUAACAAAGUUAAGAAACCAUUAAUGAUUCUGACUGGAUGUAGUUCUUCAGUUCCAAUGAGCCAAAAGAUACUAUUAAUUCACUAGCUUCAGUCAGGUGUCAUGUUAGAUUCUGUGUAUGCCUUCAGGACUCUGCUUUUCUAU
This 275-nucleotide long non-coding RNA is filed under the name Fragaria vesca (wild strawberry). Its description in RNAcentral is "long non-coding RNA (FVES_LNC002947)". The record is from RNAcentral. Lineage: Eukaryota; Viridiplantae; Streptophyta; Magnoliopsida; Rosales; Rosaceae.